GACGAACGCUGGCGGCGUGCUUAACACAUGCCAGUCGAACGGAAAGGCCCUGCUUUUGUGGGGUGCUCGAGUGGCGAACGGGUGAGUAACACGUGAGUAACCUGCCCUUGUCUUUGGGAUAACUUCAGGAAACUGGGGCUCAUACCGGAUAGGAGAUCUUGCUGCAUGGUGGGGGUUGGAGAGUUUCGGCGGUUGGGGAUGGACUGGCGGCUUAUCGGCUUGUUGGUGGGGUAGUGGCUGACCAAGUCUUUGACGGGUAGCCGGCCUGGGAGGGUGACCGGCGACCAGGGGACUAAGAGACGGCCCAGACUCCUACGGGAGGCAGCAGUGGGGAAUAUUGCACAAUGGGCGGAAGCCUGAUGCAGCAACGCCGCGUGCGUGAUGACGGCCUUCGGGUUGUAAACCGCUUUCGCCUGUGACGAAGCGGGAGUGACGGUAAUGGGUAAAGAAGCACCGGCUAACUACGUG
Molecule: ribosomal RNA, 468 nt
Filed under: uncultured bacterium
Lineage: Bacteria
Description: partial 16S ribosomal RNA
Rfam family: Bacterial small subunit ribosomal RNA
Source: RNAcentral